This 4825-nucleotide long non-coding RNA is filed under the name Sus scrofa (pig). RNAcentral describes it as "lncRNA (ENSSSCG00000058827.1)". Lineage: Eukaryota; Metazoa; Chordata; Mammalia; Artiodactyla; Suidae. The record is from RNAcentral.
AGAGUGGACGAGGGCGGGGGAAUAGCAUUCCACCUGAAGCAUUGGCAGAGUGGGUGGCCAGGGUGCGGUGGGGAGUCCGCACAGCCCUGCACUGUCACUCCAGGAGAGCUGCUCCUUCCCAGGCUGCCCUCGGCUGAGGCCCCCUGCCUGAUGAGUGUGCGGAACCCAGUCUUACCUCGCUGAACGCCAUCCCCCUGGCUGCUGUGGCUCUGGGGAAGUUAAUCAGCCUCUGGAAGGUGAACACUCUGUGCAGCCAGUGGGUGCAGAAGUGGCUGAACACGUGGACGCUGCCGAGGACACGGUCCUCAGGCCCAGACAGGCCAGGACCCAGCCUGUGCUGCGAGCGUGAGCUCAGCCGCGGCCGUGGGGCUGCUCCCAUGCCCCCGUGCUCUGUCUCCAACUCUAAAGGCUACAAGGUUGUUUCGGUUUUUUUUCUUUUUCUGGUGGCACCUGUGGCAUAUGGACGUUCCCAGAGAAGGGUUCCAAUGGGAGCUGCAGCUGAGGCCUAUGCCACAGCCACAGCCACACUAGAUCCUGAACCCACUGAGCGAGGCCAGCGAUCCUCACGGAGGACAAUGUCAUCCUCAUGGAAACAAUGUCAGGUCCUUAACCCACGGAAACACCAUGGGAACUCCAAAGGCUGCAGGUUUUAGAGGCAAGACCUGAGCAAGCCCAAGGUACGGACCACCAGCCCCUACCUCCCGCCUGGAGCAAUCAGAUAACACCCCAAAGAAUGUGGAACUUACCUAAAAGGUCAGAUACUUGGGGGCGGGGGCGGGGGUGCCGAAGGGAGAACUUGAAUGCCUAGGGUCUUCCUCUCAGCCACAGGGGAAGGGGCUUCUCCAUCCAGGGUUUGCUCCCCUGGGCAGCGUUGUCGGGGGUAAGGCCCUAGUUCAGCCAGCCUCAGAGGUUCAAGAGCAAGUUCAAGGUCAAGUGGCACCACUUUCUUGCUAUAGGAACGCAGAAAGACCAACUUAAAGGUACCCAAAAUGUGACUGUGUCUGUUAAGAGAUGAAAAUUCCCAGGUGGGAGUUGGGUGAAGGGGGGGGAUUGAGCCCCUUCACCUGAGUCUAGCCCAGGAGUAGUCAGAGCUUCCUGAACAGAAUGCAGGAAAGGAAGGGGGAAAGGGGCUGGGCGGGUAACGAGGAUGCUGAAGACACAGGCUUUCUCCUUGCCCUCCCCUGCCUCCACAGGCUCUGCCUCCCUAGACAAGGCUGUGCUUCGGGCAAGAAGUCAAGUUCAUGGGCUCAUGCCCAGCCUCUCUUCCCUGAUGAGCUGCUAUUCACUGGGAUGCAGUAAGAGCCUGCCCUUGAGCGGGAGGGUGGCAGCACUCAGCAUUCUGGAGCCAGUGUGCUCUCCACACCACUGUCAGGACCGAGGGGUGGCCUUCUGGCCCUGAGUAGUUCUGUUGGAUGCUCAGAAAUGACCUCGCAGACUCGAGGCUCCAACUGCAGAGUUUAAACUGACCUUCAUCACUGGUCUUUGAAUAAUUCAUUUCAGAUUCAUCAUUUGUAAGAACAAGGCUUGAGGGCUUUGGGGGUUUCUGAUCAGGCAGCAAGGAGACUGUGUAUUACAGUCUCUCAGCACACUGGACUUGAGUCAGUUUUUAUCUUGAAUCCACUCACAUUCACACCUCCUACCCCAUUUCAGAUACAAGAGAAGCCACACGAAAACACAAUGAAGUCUAUUUUUUUUUUAAUGUAAACUGUAAAGUCCUCCUUGGGUUAACUUAUUUUUAUAACAAAAUGAUAAGAAAAGACUAAAUUAAACAAACCCCACCAGGGGCUCCCGACAAGUAGCAUAUAUUAAAUUCAAGGCUAUUCCCAGUGCCCUGAGCUAUUAAGGAUGAAUAGAUGGUUUUCUCCAAGGUCAGUCAUAGGUCUGGGGGAGAUGGAUUCGCCAUCUUCAAUCAAGACACCUUUCUUGCAAAUGUCAGUGGGGUCUCAGCUUCAACUCCAGCAGAUGGGACAUCACCAGAUGUCACCGUCACCAACCUGCAUAUAAAGCCUUUAUCAGCGUGCUCAUCACAUACUAGGUACUUUGCAAGCAUUAUCUCAUUCAACAUUCUCCAUUCUGCACAGAGGAUACUGAGACCUACAGCGGGGUAGGGACUGACAGUAAUAUUUGCAGUGCUCUGAAAGUCCUGUUUCACAUGGUUAGCAUCUGCAGUUCUAAAGGCCCGGCGUGGCCGAAACACCCCCUGCCAUAAUUGGAGAAAUAGUCCAGGUUCCAUCCAAAGAUAGAUGAGAAGGGAAGCUCUUUUAAAUAGGAAGAGAGAUAUAAAAUACGGCACAGAGGAACCUAGCUACAAAACAGACACAGACUCGUGGACAAAGAGAACAGACUUGUGGAUGCCAAGGGGGAGACAGGAGGGAGUGGGAUGGAUGGGGAGUUUGGAGUUAGUAGAUGCAAGAUAUUACAUUUAGAAAGGAUGCAACAAGGUCCUACUAAAUAGCCCGGGGAACUAAAUCCAAUCUUUUGGGAAAGAAGAUUAUGGAAGAUAAUAUAAGAAAGGGAAUAAUAUAUAUAUAUAUAUAUAUAUAUAUAUAUAUAUAUGACGGGGUUGCUUUGCUGUACAGUAGAAAUUGGCACAUUGCAAAUCACCUAUACUUUAAUUUUUUAUAGUUUUCUUAUUUUUAAAAAAUAGAAGAAAGGCAAGGUAUUCUUUUCCUGAAAUCUUGUUAAUUCUGACUUCUUAUCUCCCUCCCUACUCCUGAUACCAACCUGUGUAGGAAAAACUCACUCUUUCUUCCUUUGCUCACACACAAUACUUCUGACACCAGAUGUGUGGGGUUCUCCCAACACACAGUUUUUGGUGACACCAGCUGGGUGUACUACAAUUCAAUUCAUUUCUGCCACUCACUGGAGUUAGCCCAGACCCCAUGGGUUCAGGGCUGUCUCACAAGACGGCUCCCCACUUCAGACUCUCAUCACAAUAGGUCCCCGUGGGCGUUACCCACAACGUCUCUCUGACUUGGCUACAGAUUAGAAGUUCCCAUGACUCUCUUCCUUGGAUCUGAUCAUUUGCUAGAACAGCACUCAGGACUCAAGGAAACACAUUUACCAAUGUAUUAUAGAAUAAAGGAUAUGAAAAAAGACUUAGAGGAAGAGCCAGGUGAAGAGAUAAGCAGGGUGAGAUCGAGAAAGGUCCAUCCCUGUGAAGUUGGCAUCCAGUAUCCUCCCAGCACGUGGGAAGCUCUCCAAACCCCGUACUUGAGAAUUUGUAUGGAGUUUUCACCCCUUAGGCAUGAUGGGUGAUGGAUCAGCAUCUGGCCCUUCUUUCCUUCCUGGAGUACGUGGUGGGGGGUGACUUCCAAGCUUCUAAUCAUGGCUUGGUCUUUCUGAUCAUCAGCUCCCAUCCUGACGCUACCCCAGGAGUCACCUCAUUGGAGCAAAAGACACUCCUGUCACCCAGGAAAUCCCAAGGAUUUAGGAGCCCUGGGUCAGCAACUGGGGUCAAAGAUCAAAUAUUGAAACAAAAGAUACCCCUGUGGUUCUUAUCAUGUAGGAAAUUCCAAGGGUGUCAGGAGCUCUGGACCAGGAACUGGGGGCAGAGAUCAAUAUAUACAUUUUCCAUUAUUUCACACAACCACUGUUGGAAAUGGCCACAGAACAAUUACAGAUUUUCUGGACUGAGGUCCAGUCAGUGGCGAACCUCAGAGGCUCGCCACACUCUCCUUGCUUGCCAGCACGUGGAGGGAGAUUCAUGGCCCACGUGCAGACUGACCAAUGAGCGUGAGACCAGGGGUUGUCUGCACAUCCUGACGCCCUGAUCCGAGCAGAGGGCUGAGGAGUCAGGCUCAGACCCUGGAGAGGAGCCCACAGCUGACUUGGCCUCUGGACCCCAUUUUCCCAGGACACCGUGAAGCCAACCACCUGUGGGCGUGCUGUGGGAUGCGAGACCCUGCCGUCUGAAGCCUAUCAGCUGGAGAGGAGGAAGGAAUAUCUCUUUUUGUUCAGCACAUUUCCUGAAGCAUCGUAUGUGUGAGCUCCCACCCUGGUGGCUGUGAGGUGCAAAGAAAAAAAAAGUAGAGUGUAAAUGAAUUUUCCUUCCCCACCCUUAACUGUGAUAAGCAUCACCUUGUUUUUCUAAAUCAAAUUAAAUCUAACUUUGAGCCUUCACUCAGUCGGGUGGUGGGGGAUACAAUAUUCCAGGGGCGUCUCAGAAAUCCAGUGGAGACAGAAGGCAGAGAAAUCACAGCCCAACCCACGCAGGGUCCUUGGGGAGGCAGGUGUCCAAGGCACUCAGCAGUUACACUUCCUGGCUCAUUUCCUUCCCAGACACAGGGACCCUUCCCAGAGUUGGCUCUUCUCACUGACCUGUCCAAGGACUUCCUUUUAACCUGUCCCCUUGGGAAGACACUCCAUAUCUCCCUUCUGUGGGUCCCUAGAGACACUCUUUCCUGAACUGGGAGCAGAAGAAAGAGAUGGGAGAAAAUAGUCAAAGUCGUCUUGAUAAUUUACCCUGAAAUCCUAUUAACAAUAAUUAAAUUAGUAGUGCUUAUUCUUUUGGUUAUUGCUAUGCCAGCUUCUAUCCUAGGCAGUUUGUCCUAUGUGACUUAAUUUUAUUUACUUUUCCAACCCCCAGAGCAGAGUCUGAGUUAAUUAUACCCCCCCAGUUCACAGGGUACAGCCGUCGCUGGUCCAAAGCUGGACUCUUGGUUGUUCAUUCACUCAUUCGUUCUGUCUUUCCCCCUUCCCACCCUACGAGCGACCUUUCAAAUGUGAUUAAUAAGGUGUCUUUUGGUUUCCAUGCACUCCUUAAAAUGUGUAUUGUGAAUUUUUGCAUGUGCAUUUUAAUGUGAAUAAAUGGUACUGGAUUUUG